AGGGUACGCGGUGGAUGCCUUGGCGCAGAGAGGCGAUGAAGGACGUGGUAAGCUGCGAUAAGCCUCGGGGAGCCGCAAACAGGCUUUGAUCCGAGGAUUUCCGAAUGGGGCAACCUGGCAGAGGUCAUGCUCUGUCACCGCGAGCUGAAUGCAUAGGCUCGAGGGAGCGAACGGGGGGAAGUGAACCAUCUCAGUACCCCCAGGAAGAGAAAACAAGAGUGAUUCCGUCAGUAGCGGCGAGCGAACGCGGAAGAGCCCAAACCGAUCAGGUGCAAGCCUGCAAGCGUUGCCUGGUUGGGGUUGAGGGAUGUUGCUGGGUUCGGUUGCAGCCGGACCGGGGAGUUAAAAAUCACCAGCCUAGCAGAAGGAUUCUGGAACGAGCCGCCGUAGAGGGUGAAAGCCCCGUAAGCGAAAGGUUCGGUGACUCCCUUGCAGUAUUCCCGAGUACCACGGGACACGUGGAACCCUGUGGGAAUCUGGGUCGACCAUGACCCAAGGCUAAAUACUCCUCUGCGACCGAUAGUGCACAAGUACCGUGAGGGAAAGGUGAAAAGCACCCCUGUUAGGGGAGUGAAAUAGUACCUGAAACCGCGUAUCUACAAGCAGUGGAAGCACUAUGACCUUCGGGUCAGUGCGACCGCGUGCCUUUUGCAUAAUGAGCCGGCUAGUUACUGUCACUGGCAAGGCGAAGCGACGUGCUGAGCCGUAGCGAAAGCGAGUCUGAAUAGGGCGAUUCAGUCAGUGGUAGUACACGCGAAGCGAGAUGAUCUAGCCAUGGCCAGGGUGAAGCUGCGGUAACACGCAGUGGAGGCCCGAACCAGUGUUGGUUGAAAACAACUUGGAUGAGCUGUGGCUAGGGGUGAAAGGCUAAUCAAAUCUCGUCAUAGCUCGUUCUCCUCGAAAUAGCUUUAGGGCUAGCCUCGUGGAUUGCAUCGCGGAGGUAGAGCACUGAAUGGACUAGGGGCCCUACAAGGUUACCGAAUCCAAUCAAACUCCGAAUGCCGUGCAUGUGUACCACGGGAGUCAGACUACGGGGGAUAAGCUCCGUGGUCGAGAGGGAAACAACCCAGACCGCCAGCUAAGGUCCCAAAGUAUCAGCUAAGUGGAAAAGGAUGUGGAGACGCCCUGACAGCCAGGAGGUUGGCUUAGAAGCAGCCAUCCUUUAAAGAAAGCGUAAUAGCUCACUGGUCAAGUGGCUCCGUGCCGAUAAUUCAACGGGGCUCAAGCUGAUCACCGAAGCUGCGGACUUCCCUUCGGGGGAGUGGUAGAGGAGCAUUCCGUGGGCGUCGAAGUCAGACCGAAAGGACUGGUGGAGCGCACGGAAGAGACCCUGCCGGCACAAGUAGCGAUAAAGCAUGUGAGAACCAUGCUCGCCGAAAGUCUAAGGUUUCCUGAGGAAGGUCAAUCCGCUCAGGGUUAGUCGGUCCCUAAGGCGAGGCCGAAAGGCGUAGUCGAUGGGAAACAGGUUAAUAUUCCUGUACCAGCUAGAGCUCGUUAUUACGAUGGGGUGACGCAGAAGGAUAGCCCAGCCUGCCAUUGGAUGUGCAGGUUCAAGCGUGUAGGCGGGGAUGGUAGGCAAAUCCGCCGUCCCUUAACGCUGAGGCGUGAUGUCGAGGCCUUCGGGCCGCAAAGUGGGUGACUCCAUACUGCCAAGAAAAACCUCUAAGGAGAGCGUUGGCUGACCGUACCGCAAACCGACACAGGUAGACGGGGAGAGAAUCCCAAGGCGCUUGAGUGAUCCCCUGUGAAGGAACUCGGCAAACUCACACCGUAACUUCGGGAGAAGGUGUGCCGUCGGGAGUGUAGGAGCUUGCCUCCGAAGCACCUGGCGGUCGCAGUGAAAAGUCCCAGGCGACUGUUUACUAAAAACACAGGACUCUGCAAAGUCAAAAACGACGUAUAGGGUCUGACGCCUGCCCGGUGCCGGAAGGUUAAGAGGAGGGGUUAGCCGCAAGGCGAAGCUCUGAAUCGAAGCCCCGGUAAACGGCGGCCGUAACUAUAACGGUCCUAAGGUAGCGAAAUUCCUUGUCGGGUAAGUUCCGACCUGCACGAAUGGCGUAACGAUCUGGGAGCUGUCUCCACAGGGGGCUCAGCGAAUCUGUAGCACCGGUGAAGAUGCCGGUUACCCGCACGUAGACGGAAAGACCCUGUGCACCUUUACUGCACCCUGGCAGUGAACCCCGGUGCGCUAUGUGUAGGAUAGGUGGGAGGCUGUGAAGCCGGAGCGCUAGCUUCGGUGGAGCCACCGGUGAAAUACCACCCUUAGCGUACUGGAGUUCUAACAGAGGUCCGUGAUCCGGAUCCUGGACAUUGUCAGGCGGGUAGUUUGACUGGGGCGGUCGCCUCCCAAACCGUAACGGAGGCGCGCGAAGGUUCCCUCAGGCUGAUUGGAAACCAGCCGUAGA
This 2405-nucleotide ribosomal RNA is filed under the name soil metagenome. Its description in RNAcentral is "bacterial LSU rRNA". It matches the Rfam family "Bacterial large subunit ribosomal RNA", at positions 14 to 2348 of the family's 2925-position model. The record is from RNAcentral.